AUGGAGGUGGGGUGGGCAUUGAAGAAGAAAGGGGAAGAGUGGAGGUCGGCGCUGCAGGAAAGGGGGGCAGAGCACACUUCUUUUCUGGCCGAGGAGCAUUCUGGGCAGGUUACUUCCCUUGUGGAUCUAGCGGAUCUGGAAGAAGGGUUGACCGACAGAAGCAUCAACGAUUCUGGAUUUUCUUCCACUUCCUUCCCAACAGAGGGGGAGGUGCUUGGGCAGCAUAGGAGUGUCUUCUUCGAUCCAACCAAAGGUUUAUGGGAGUGUCGGCACUGCGAUUGGACACACCAAUUGAUUAGUCCCUGCAGAAAUGUCGAUUUCCCAAAUUAUCAAAGGUGUGGCCAAGUUACAAUGGAGGCCCCCUUUGACAUGGGGUUCCUUCUUGGCAAGCUGGGCAUGCUGCUAGCUCCUCAGGGGUGCAGGCUGCCGAGCCGGGUUAAGGACAGAAUGCACCUCCUCAAAGAAGAUGUUGAAGAUUUAAGCGAAUACCUUGCUGAAAUGGCAGAGGCAGAGGACCUUCCCCUGACGGCCAAGCGCUGGAUGAAAGAGGCGCGCGAGCUGGCCUAUGACAUCGAGGAUAACAUGGACAUGUGUCUACGGCCUGCCAUCAAGACCACCAGAUUCAUCUGCAAAAUCGGCCGUGUUAAGAUUCCCAAAAGGCUCUUCUCCAAAAGAGUACUUCCCAGAGGGCUCAAACAGAUUGCCUACACAGCUCAAGUGCCAGCAGAACAUGGUGGGAAGACCAGAUCAGUCUGCAAAGCCAUUCGUGUUGUCAUCAAUUGUCUUCCCAGGAGGCUCCGGUGGUACAAGCAUAUCAUGGAGCUGAUAUCAGAUUUCAGGGUGUACAUCCAAGAAGCGAUUGAACGGCAUGAGAGGUAUGAACUCCACUGCUACAGCACGUUCAGACGUAGAUUCGUGUCCGCUGGCUGUACACUUCCAACGCCGUAUGGAGGAAUUGCCAACAUGGUAAUUGAUGGCCGGGUGAGUGAGUUCAUCGACUCAUUGGAUAAUGAUAGGGAUCAACAGCUCAAGGUGUUAUCUGUUCUUGGACCUGGAUGUCUUGGUAAAACUGCACUUGCACAAGUGUUGUACAACAAAUUUGCGGGGCAAUUUGACUGUACAGCUUUCAUCCAGGUGUCCAAAAGGCCUGAUGUGGUGAGACUUCUCCGCGAUAUGCUCACGCAAGUCCAGGGGCAGCAGCCCACUGAGGAUUCUAAGGAACUUGACCUUGCUAGCAGUAUCAGGAAACAUCUACAAGAUAAAAGGUACUUAAUUAUUAUUGAUGAUAUAUGGACUGCAUCAACAUGGGAUAUUAUUAGUCAUGCUUUUCCAAAACGUAAUCGUGGAAGCAGAGUUAUAACAACUACACAAAUGGAAGAGGUUGCGUUAACAUGUUGUUGUUAUCACUCAAAGCAUAUUUUUGAGAUGAGGCCUCUGGAUCAUGAUCACUCAAGAAAGCUGUUCUUUAACAUACUUUUUGGCUCUGAAAGUGACUGUCCUAAAGAACUCAAAGAAGUAACAAACAAAAUUGUUGAAUUAUGUGGUGGUUUGCCGCUAGCAACAAUCAGCAUAGCUAGUCUACUAUCAAGCCAGCCUGUUAUAAAAAUGGAUCUUUUGGCGUACCUGUGUGAUUCAUUAAGCUCCUGUUUGUGGACAUCUCCUUCAGAAGGAACAAGACAAGUAUUGAACCUCAGCUACAAUAAUCUUCCUCGCUAUUUGAAGAUAUGCCUGCUGUGUCUUAGUAUGUACCCGAAGGGCCACACAAUGUGGAAGGAUGAUUUGGUGAAGCAAUGGGUCGCUGAAGGUUUCAUCCAUACAACAGGAGUGCAAGACAUGGAGAAAGUUGCAGCAAGCUAUUUCGAUGAACUUAUCAAGAGAAGAUUCAUCCAACCUCUAUGUAUCAAGUACAACAAUGAGGUGUCGUCCUGUACUAUUGAUGAUGUGGUACACGAUCUUAUUGCAGACAAGUCUAAAGAAGAAAAUUUCAAUGUGGUAAUAGAUUCUAGUCGAAAGAAUGUGGCACUUUCUCAUAAGGUUCGACGCCUAUCUCUCCUCUUUGGUGAUGCAAAAUAUGCGAAGACACCAGAAAACAUGAGAAGGUCACAAGUUCGGUCGCUUACUUUUUUUGGAUUAUUUGAGAGUAUGCCUUCUAUUUCAGAGUUUAAGCUCCUUCGUGUGCUAAGCCUUCAAUUAUCUGGUUAUGGUGGCCGUGGCACCAUAAACCUCACUGGGAUUUCAGAUCUGUUCCAACUGAGAUAUUUAAAGAUUGCAAGUGAUAUCUGCAUACAACUACCAGAACAUAUGCUAGGGCUACAUUGUUUGGAAACACUGGUUAUGGAUAGUGAAGCUACUGCUGUUCCAUGGGAUAUUAUUCACCUCCCAAGCUUGUCUCACCUGAGUCUGCUUGUUAUGACAAAUUUGUUGCAUUGGCUUGGCAGCAUGAGGUUCGUUGGCAAGCUGAACAACCUGCGAGAUCUUCAUCUGACCUUUUCCGUACCGUCUUCAGACUAUCUGAAGAGAAGCAUAGAAGCUCUGGGCUCCCUACUCUCAGGACAUGGCAACCUGAAAACUCUAGCCCUGGUUAAUGGCCUCUGUCACAGAAAUACCGUGGUUCGCGGUGCUUCAAAAGUGACUGUCUCCUGGGAUGGCUUAGUACCUCCUCCACUUCUCGAGGUGUUUGAUUGGUCGCUACGCAGCUGCAUACUGUCCCGUAUUCCGAAGUGGAUCGGAAAACUUGGUGAGCUCCACAUUUUGAAGAUUGCAGCAAGGGAACUUGCGAGGGAUGGUAUUGAUGCUCUCAGAGGUUUGCCCGCCCUCACUGAUCUGUCGCUGUAUUUGCAGACGGCUGCUGUUGAAAGGAUUGUCUUUGACAAGGGGGGGUUCUCAGUCCUCAACUACUUCAAGCUCAGGUGCAGUGUACCUUGCCUGAAAUUUGAGGCGAACUCAAUGCCUAAUCUCCAGAAGCUCAAACUAGGUUUCAAUGCCCCCAGACCCCUCAUAGACCAGCAUGGUGCUAGUACGGCUAUAAGCAUUGGCCACUUGCCAUGCCUUCGAGAGAUCUAUGCAAAAAUCGGGGGUGCAUGUGCUGAUGCAGAGUCUGCUUUAGCAACUGCCAUUAGCAAUCAUCCGAGCAAUCCUAGGAUCAGUGUGCAGUUGGUGGAUUAUACUUUUGAUGGUGAUGAGAUCACGCAUGAUAAAAAUGAACAAGAUGAGGUUGUGGAGGAAGACCGAGUUGGAUACUUGAAGAAGCUACUUAUGUCUUGUGCUAGAGCUGUGGAUGAGAAGGACAGCUUGGCAAUCGAUAUGACGGUUCCGGAGUUGGGGGAAAAUGUUUCAGUAUCUGGCAAGCCACUCCAGAGACUUGGAGAGUACAUGGUUGAAGGGCUUGUUGCCAGACUUGCCUCCUCCGGCCAUUCAAUCUACAGAGCUUUGAAGUGGCAAAAGCCACAUGGCUCUGAAAUGAUAUCCUACCAGCGUGAAUUGUAUGCCGUCUGCCCCUACUUAAAGUUUGGCUACGUGUCGGCAAACGGUGCAAUUGCAGAAGCCGUCAGAGGAGAAGAUAUGAUUCACAUAAUUGACUUCCGUAUCUCUCAAGGUGUUCAAUGGAUUUCUCUCAUCCAGGCUCUUGCGGCCAGGCCUGGUGGACCACCAACUGUAAGGAUCACAUGCAUUGAUGAUUCUGAAUCAGCUUACGUGCGAGGAGGCGGGCUAGAGAUACUCGGGAAUACUUUGUCAGACAUUGCUCGCGAGUUCGGGUUGCCCUUUGAAUUCCAUGCACUAGAUAUCUCUGUCAGCGGAGUGGAAGAAGGGCAUCUUGGAGUCAUCCCUGGGGAAGCUGUGGCAGUGAACUUCAACCUGACACUGCACCAGAUUCCUGAUGAGAGCGUGAGCGCGGCCAACCACCGCGACCGGAUCCUUAGGCUGGUGAAGCAGUUGUCGCCCAAGGUGGUCACCAUUGUGGAGCAGGAACUCAACACGAACACAGGCCCCUUCACGCAGAGGUUCGCGGAGACACUCGACUACUACACUGCCAUUUUCGAGUCCAUCGACGUGGAGCGCCCAAGGGAACCGAAGGAGAGGACCAAAAUGGAGCAGCACUGCCUGGCGAGGAAGAUUGUGAACAUCGUCGCCUGCGAGGGUGCGGAGAGGGUGGAGCGGCACGAGGUCUUCAGCAAGUGGAAUGCGCGCCUCACGAUGGCCGGGUUCAGACCGUUGCCACUGGGCUCCCGGGUGAAAGACAACCUCAGGACGCUGCUGCACUACUACUCGUCGAACUACAGGCUCGCCGAGAGGGACGGGGUGAUAUACCUCGGAUGGAAGAAUAGGGCCCUCGUGGUAUCGUCUGCAUGGCACUAG
This 4356-nucleotide ribosomal RNA is filed under the name Triticum aestivum (bread wheat). RNAcentral's name for it is "partial small subunit ribosomal RNA". Lineage: Eukaryota; Viridiplantae; Streptophyta; Magnoliopsida; Poales; Poaceae. The record is from RNAcentral.